AUGUCCGGUUUACCCACAACUGAAGCAAGAAUUGUUGCACUAGCGCUCCUCGUGCACCGGGUUGGUCAUGACAUUCUUGACUUGGGUGGUGGUCUUGUUAACAUUCUGGUGCCAAUUGGGCUUGGAUUCCACCUGAGUCUGCUACCAGGUACGAGCCUUUUCCACUGGUUGCCCUUCCUUCCUUGGCUCAAACUUGCGCUUGUGAUCGUUAUUAGCAGGAAUGUUGUCCGUUAUGAGCUUGUGCUCCCUUUCAGCAAUUGUCAGGACCCCGACUCAAUGCCACAUCGAUCUAGCAUGUAA
RNAcentral lists this ribosomal RNA (300 nucleotides) under Triticum aestivum (bread wheat). RNAcentral's name for it is "partial small subunit ribosomal RNA". Lineage: Eukaryota; Viridiplantae; Streptophyta; Magnoliopsida; Poales; Poaceae. The record is from RNAcentral.